UGACGGUACUGUAAGAAUAAGGAUCGGCUAACUCCGUGCCAGCAGCCGCGGUAAUACGGAGGAUCCAAGCGUUAUCCGGAAUCAUUGGGUUUAAAGGGUCCGCAGGCGGUUUUUUAAGUCAGAGGUGAAAUCCUACAGCUCAACUGUAGAACUGCCUUUGAUACUGGAAAACUUGAGUUAUUGUGAAGUGGUUAGAAUGUGUGGUGUAGCGGUGAAAUGCAUAGAUAUCACACAGAAUACCGAUUGCGAAGGCAGAUCACUAACAAUAUACUGACGCUCAUGGACGAAAGCGUGGGGAGCGAACAGGAUUAGAUACCCUGGUAGUCCACGCCGUAAACGAUGGAUACUAGCUGUUCGUCUAACAUUGGUUAGAUGAGUGGCUAAGCGAAAGUGAUAACUAUCCCACCUGGGGAGUACGGUCGCAAGACUGAAACUCAAAGGAAUUGAC
RNAcentral lists this ribosomal RNA (448 nucleotides) under uncultured bacterium. RNAcentral describes it as "bacterial SSU rRNA". It matches the Rfam family "Bacterial small subunit ribosomal RNA", at positions 470 to 914 of the family's 1533-position model. The record is from RNAcentral.